Molecule: non-coding RNA, 31 nt
Filed under: Homo sapiens (human)
Lineage: Eukaryota; Metazoa; Chordata; Mammalia; Primates; Hominidae
Source: RNAcentral
UCCUAAAGGUUCCAAAGCAGUCUGCAUGCCC